GUUGUGGCUCAGUGGUAGAGCGCUUCCCUAGCACAUUUGAGGACCUGGGUUCAAUCCUCAGCACCACA
Molecule: transfer RNA, 68 nt
Filed under: Marmota monax (woodchuck)
Lineage: Eukaryota; Metazoa; Chordata; Mammalia; Rodentia; Sciuridae
Description: tRNA.Undet
Source: RNAcentral